UACGUAGGGGGCAAGCGUUGUCCGGAUUUAUUGGGCGUAAAGAGCGUGUAGGCGGCCUGGAAGGUCAGCUGUGAAAACCUGCAGCUUAACUGUGGGCGUGCGGUCGAUACGGGCAUCACUGGAGUUCGGCAGGGGAGACUGGAAUUCCUGGUGUAGCGGUGAAAUGCGCAGAUAUCAGGAGGAACACCAGCGGCGAAGGCGGCGCUCUGGGCUGGAACUGACGCUGAGGAGCGAAAGCGUGGGGAGCGAACAGG
Molecule: ribosomal RNA, 254 nt
Filed under: uncultured bacterium
Lineage: Bacteria
Description: partial 16S ribosomal RNA
Rfam family: Bacterial small subunit ribosomal RNA
Source: RNAcentral